This 432-nucleotide ribosomal RNA is filed under the name uncultured bacterium. RNAcentral describes it as "bacterial SSU rRNA". It matches the Rfam family "Bacterial small subunit ribosomal RNA", at positions 35 to 507 of the family's 1533-position model. The record is from RNAcentral.
AGCUGGCGGUGUGCUUCACACAUGCAAGUCGAACGAGGUAGCAAUACCUAGUGGCGGACGGGUGAGUAACGCGUGGGAAUCUGCCUUUAGAUGGGGGAUAACGGGUCGAAAGACUCGCUAAUACCGCAUAUGACGAAAGUUGAAAGGAGUAAUCCGUCUAAAGAUGAGCCCGCGUCCGAUUAGCUAGUUGGUAGAGUAAAAAGCCUACCAAGGCGACGAUCGGUAGCUGGUCUGAGAGGAUGAUCAGCCACAAUGGGACUGAGACACGGCCCAUACUCCUACGGGAGGCAGCAGUGGGGAAUUUUACGCAAUGGGCGAAAGCCUGACGUAGCGACACCGCGUGAGCGAAGAAGCCCCUUGGGGUGUAAAGCUCUGUCAGCUGGAACGAAAAAAAUGACGGUACCAGCAGAGGAAGCAUCGGCUAACUACGUG